UUGUUUCCUACACUACGUGUUUUUCCUUUUCUUCCAGAACUCCCUGUUUUCAGCUAGGUAUAUGCCUAGUCAGAGCAAAUACCUUUCCCAGCAUUCUUUGCAGCUCAAUGUGGCCAUGGGACCAAGUUCAGCCAAUGGGGAAGUGUGACAGCCCCUGGAACUUUCCUUGAAAGAAUACUCCAUUUGUCCUUCUUUCUCCCCCUAAGCAUCCUGCUUCUUCAAUUGUAGAAAUGACUGCUAGGAUUCCUACCACCAUCUCGGACCACGAGGUCAAGGGCCACACUCCAGGGCAGCAAGCAGUGAGCUAGAAAGAACCCAAGUUUUCAGUUCCUGAGAUUGCAUGGAACAGUCUGACUACAUGGAACAGAGCUGCUAGAGCAUCCUCGACCACCACUGAAGUGAGCAAGUGAGGUUCUUGUCUCAUGGAGUCGAAGAAUGAAUCUCGUGGACACAGACUCAGCCAAGGACCCUAUGAGGGUCGAAGAAAACUUUUUCCUACCUACAACAGCACAGUUGGUGGAAACUCAUAACAUUUUGUCCUCGCCACCCUGAAUAGCUGCGUGUCCCAUAUGCCAGCUUCCAAUCUCAAGGGCUACCUGCAUGUCCUAGUAGACUCAAGUUUCUACCCAGGUGUAGGGAUGACUCCAUGCCCACAUGUUUCAGCACAACUCAGACGGGUUUGAGUUUUCUUUCUACUCUUUGCAACCCUAUCUCUGUCCAUCUAAGUAAGGAAAUAAAUUGCCUUUUCCUGAAAA
Molecule: long non-coding RNA, 755 nt
Organism: Canis lupus familiaris (dog)
Lineage: Eukaryota; Metazoa; Chordata; Mammalia; Carnivora; Canidae
Exons: 2
Source: RefSeq, a predicted model, not a curated record